CACGUAGGGGGCAAGCGUUGUCCGGAUUUAUUGGGCGUAAAGAGCUCGUAGGUGGUUCGGUAAGUCAGGUGUGAAACCUCCAGGCUCAACCUGGAGACGCCACUUGAUACUGCUGUGACUGGAGUCCGGUAGGGGAGCGUGGAAUUCCUGGUGUAGCGGUGAAAUGCGUAGAGAUCAUGAGGAAGACCAGUGGCGAAGGCGGGUCUCUGGACAGUUCCUGACACUGAGGCACGAAGGCCAGGGGAGCAAACGGG
This 254-nucleotide ribosomal RNA is filed under the name uncultured bacterium. Its description in RNAcentral is "partial 16S ribosomal RNA". It matches the Rfam family "Bacterial small subunit ribosomal RNA", at positions 524 to 776 of the family's 1533-position model. The record is from RNAcentral.